GCAACGCAGUCUGAUCCAGCCAUUCCGCGUGCAGGAUGAAGGCCCUCGGGUUGUAAACUGCUUUUGUACAGAACGAAAAGGCUCUGGUUAAUACCUAGGGCUCAUGACGGUACUGUAAGAAUAAGCACCGGCUAACUACGUGCCAGCAGCCGCGGUAAUACAA
Molecule: ribosomal RNA, 163 nt
Filed under: uncultured Comamonadaceae bacterium
Lineage: Bacteria; Pseudomonadati; Pseudomonadota; Betaproteobacteria; Burkholderiales; Comamonadaceae
Description: partial 16S ribosomal RNA
Rfam family: Bacterial small subunit ribosomal RNA
Source: RNAcentral